RNAcentral lists this unclassified non-coding RNA (1265 nucleotides) under Dimorphilus gyrociliatus. Its description in RNAcentral is "homeobox domain-containing protein". Lineage: Eukaryota; Metazoa; Annelida; Polychaeta; Dinophilidae. The record is from RNAcentral.
GGCUUUGAGCUUUUGUUGCCGCCAAGUGCGAGUUUAGUAGCGAAUUUCGAACGGUCGCGUCUCGAGAAAUUUGUCCGACGUUUUCUCACCCAUUUAUGCAUGCAGAUGGCGCAUAAAACUUCGAGAAUUGGCUCUGCUGCGGAGUUGGAAUUUUGUACGCAAUCGAAAUCGAAAUUAUCUCAUCAAUAUUCUCAGGCAUCGGGAGAUAGGAAUAUAUUCGUAUCGCCUUUGGUAAAUAUUCAAUAAUACACUUAUAUACAAGUAUACUAUCUAUAUACACUGAAUACAUAUAUCAAUAUGAGGGUAUAUAGAUAUGUUUAAAAAAUCAAUUAUUAAUUGUUAUCUUUAUUGCUUCGUUGUUUUAUGUAACAUUUACGGUUUUCUUUAUUUUGUAAUAAAGGCAUCGAACUUGGACAAAGGAAAUUCAUUCGUUUCCCAGGACUUUCAAAGCAGCUAUCCAUACACAUGCUAUUCACAAGCUGAUUUAGCCGCUCGACGCAAAAUGGCCACAAGAGAAGGUACUUCUAUACUUAAACGAUGGCUGUAUGACCACCUGAAGAAUCCAUAUCCGACAAAAGGAGAGAAAAUAAUGUUGGCCAUUAUCACAAAGAUGAGCUUGACUCAAGUGUCCACUUGGUUCGCUAAUGCACGACGGCGCCUAAAGAAAGAAAAUAAAAUGACAUGGUCGCCAAAGAAUAGAACUGACGAAGAUGGAGAAGAAGAAGAGGAGGAGGAGGAAGAUGAAACUAAUGAUUCCAAAAAAAAUGAUGAUGAUGAUGAAGAAAUUGAUGUUACAGGAAACUUGGACGAGGACGCUUUAUCUGAUGUUGAUAAUGCCGCAUCAAAGCAAGUAGAAGCUCCUUUAAUAGCCGAGGAUAGUAGAGGAGAGAAAAAAGGGAAAAUUUGGUCUCUAGCCGAUACGGCAACUUGCCAAGAAAAUGAAGAAGAGAAGAGGAAACGCCGGGAAGAGCGACGCCGUUUCUCCACCUUCCCUUCCUUCCUCAAUUAUUCUCCAUAUUUAGGAUAUGUUUCCAUACCAACGCCAUCUACAGCUUUUGUCACUUUAAGAUAGUGUUGAUAAUCUUUUGUUAAUGUGCUUAAAAUCGUGUAUAUAUGGAUACGUAUGUAUACAAUUGGGAUGUGUAGUAUAAAUCUGUAUAUACUGUAUAUCUGUAUAUAUACGAUAUAUAUCUGUAAAUGCAUGUACAAAGAGGCCGCGUCUAGUCGAGUUUGUGAUAUAAACGCGCUCAAGUUGUAUAUUCGUU